Molecule: non-coding RNA, 118 nt
Organism: Macrostomum lignano
Lineage: Eukaryota; Metazoa; Platyhelminthes; Macrostomidae
Source: Rfam
UAUCUGGUUGAUCCUGCCAGUAGUCAUAUGCUUGUCUCAAAGAUUAAGCCAUGCAUGUCUAAGUACAAACCUUAAUACGGUGAAACCGCGAAUGGCUCAAUUAAAUCAGCUAUGGUUC